Molecule: long non-coding RNA, 514 nt
Filed under: Homo sapiens (human)
Lineage: Eukaryota; Metazoa; Chordata; Mammalia; Primates; Hominidae
Description: non-protein coding lnc-MNX1-23:3
Source: RNAcentral
CCAGCAGACACGCAUGGUGGAACACAUGUGAGCAGGACAGGAGGGCCAUCUCUCUGGAACGCCUGCCUGCACCCACGCGCUGACCGCCAGCAGCGGAGAGAGGGGCCAGGCAGAUGGAGCACUCGUGGGUCUCCCGGCGCAGAGCCUGCGGCACACAGGACGGGAAGAGGCCACGCGGCUCCCUGCAGGAAGCGUGCCCUGCAGCAGGCGCGAACCACCCGAGCGGCCUCCACAUGCACCUAGACAGGCACGCCGGCUGGGUGCUCACACCUGGGCCCUUGCACCUGUGUCUGCCCAGAGGGGCUGGUCAGCACACCCUUUACAAUGAAGGCUCACAAAGUACACAACUCCAAGUGCCAGUCCAUGAAAGCAGUUCGCAUAGACUUUUCAUGCAGUUGAGUCUAAUUUAUAUUUUACUAUCCACUUACCCUAUGUAACCAAAUAUCAUUUUUACACUUAUUAACAAUUCAUACUUUUUUCUUCCUUAAGAGGAAUUAAAGCAUUUCCUCAAUGA